AUGGUACAAUAUCCGAGCUUGUACAGGAUUGUUAGACAUAAAUUCGUCACAAUCAAACAAGUUUUAGGACAAGAAAACCCUGAUAUUUCUUUUCGCAGGGACCUUUUUGGCCCUCGCCUGGCAGUAUGGAAUGAAUUACUCACUCUCCUGGAGAACAUUCAACUGGCAGGUGAGUCGGACAUUUUUCGAUGGAACUUGCAUCAGAAUGGCAAAUUUUCAGUCAAAUUCAUGUAUGAUGCACUGGUUCAUUAUGAUGUUCCAGUUGAUAACAGAAAAUUGUGGAAGCUCAAAAUCCCUCUAAGAGUGAAGAUUUUUCUCUGUUUUCUUAAUAGAGGAGUCAUCCUAACUAGAGACAAUCUGAGACGACGAAACUGGUAUGGUUCUAAGACAUGUGUCUUUUGCCAACAUGACGAGUCUAUUAAACACUUAUUUUUUGAGUGCAAGUUCGCUCGGGCAGUUUGGGCCAUAGUUCAAGUAGUUUCGAAUCUAUACCCACCACGUAGUGCACGGAACAUGUUCGGCAACUGGUUGCGGGGUAUUGAUAAACAAUUUUCUGCACAUAUUCUUGUGGGAGCGGCGGCCUUAUGCUGGGCACUAUGGCUUACCAGGAAUGAUGUGAUUUUUAAUAACAAAUGUGUCUCAUCUCCUAUGCAGGUUAUUCAUGUGUGUACACGAUGGCUCCGUACUUGGUCUAUCCUACAGAGACCGGAGGAUAGGGACCUUUUUAUGAUGACGUCUACACGGCUGGAGCGUACGGCCAGGGAGGUUUUCUACCCCCAUGGAUGA
Molecule: ribosomal RNA, 786 nt
Filed under: Triticum aestivum (bread wheat)
Lineage: Eukaryota; Viridiplantae; Streptophyta; Magnoliopsida; Poales; Poaceae
Description: partial small subunit ribosomal RNA
Source: RNAcentral